UGAAAGAAAAGAAAGACCUCAGUCACGCUUCAGACCUCUGAUCAGGGAAGGCUACCCGCUGAGUUUAAGCAUAUCAAUAAGCGGAGGAAAG
This 91-nucleotide ribosomal RNA is filed under the name Syrrhopodon bornensis. RNAcentral describes it as "Syrrhopodon borneensis partial 26S ribosomal RNA". The stretch from base 32 to 91 matches the Rfam family "Eukaryotic large subunit ribosomal RNA", at positions 1 to 60 of the family's 3401-position model. Lineage: Eukaryota; Viridiplantae; Streptophyta; Bryopsida; Dicranales; Calymperaceae. The record is from RNAcentral.